Molecule: ribosomal RNA, 253 nt
Filed under: uncultured bacterium
Lineage: Bacteria
Description: partial 16S ribosomal RNA
Rfam family: Bacterial small subunit ribosomal RNA
Source: RNAcentral
GACAGAGGGUGCAAACGUUGUUCGGAAUUACUGGGCGUAAAGCGCGUGUAGGCGGCUAAGUAAGUCGGGCGUGAAAUCCCACGGCUCAACCGUGGAAGUGCACUCGAAACUGCAUAGCUAGAGUCCUGGAGAGGAAGGUGGAAUGCUUGGUGUAGAGGUGAAAUUCGUAGAUAUCAAGCGGAACACCGGUGGCGAAGGCGGCCUUCUGGACAGUGACUGACGCUGAGGAGCGAAAGCAUGGGGAGCGAACAGG